AGACACCCUUCUGGGGCAAGACUUGCUUCAGCAGGGCUUUGGUGCUCACUGAGUCUGCCCCCUGAGUGUGUCCCU
Molecule: microRNA precursor, 75 nt
Filed under: Myotis myotis
Lineage: Eukaryota; Metazoa; Chordata; Mammalia; Chiroptera; Vespertilionidae
Also listed under: 1 other name
Description: mir-9229 microRNA precursor family
Rfam family: mir-9229 microRNA precursor family
Source: Rfam by way of RNAcentral